GAUGACAAUAGCGUUGUGGCACCACCUGAUCCCAUGCCGAACUCAGAAGUGAAACAUAACUGCGCCGAUGGUAGUGUGGGAGUUCCCAUGUGAGAGUAGGUCA
Molecule: ribosomal RNA, 103 nt
Filed under: Thalassotalea insulae
Lineage: Bacteria; Pseudomonadati; Pseudomonadota; Gammaproteobacteria; Alteromonadales; Colwelliaceae
Source: RNAcentral